AAUCAUGCUGACGUGGUAGACAAAUGAGAAUCAUUCUAAUUAUCUCUGGUGUUUCAAAGUGGAAAAUUAAAUUGCACUGGUAAAUAUUUCACUUCUGCACUUGCCUCUGGACCCUUUCGCCCGCUCUGUUUUAAAGAUAAACCUAUGCUUCAUAUUUUCAUUUCUCUCAUCGGGUGAUAUACUCAGUAUCUGUAACACAAAGAGGAUCUUUGGCAAACAUAAAUGGAACUCUUUGCCGGCUUAAUUAGUUCAGCAUAUUAGCCUGUAAUUCCAACAAUUAAUUCGAGUUCCAUCAUUAUUCAUGUUUAAAAUCUUUAUUCUUGGAUUUGACUGAAAGCGGUUUUGGAAACAAACGGCUGCUCCUUUUACGCUGCGAAUCAAUUUCAUAAUGGCUUCAAUUCACCGCCUCUUUAAUUCGAGGAUCUGAAAAUAUUGCCCAGAUGUCGAUGCAGAAAGCUCCGCAAUACACAGCGACGAAGGGAUUACUGUUAUCUUCCAAUAAAGAAACUGAGGCACAGAGCGGCUCAUUACCGGGAUUAUUCUGUAAGAUCGAUGCCUUCCAAAGCCUGGGUAAAUACUGAUGCCCAAAGAACAUGAAAGUGAGCCGGAGCUGUAGUGGAAAUUAAAAACCAGUCACAUACAAUUGAAUAAACCUGUGUGAAAUUACUCAUUUCCACAUCAGAAAAUUAAUUUAGCCAGAAAUAAUUCCAAGUUGCUGGAUAUCUGUAGGCGUGAGACAGAUCCUACGGAUGCCAUGAAUAGGAGGGUGGCAAUAUUGUUUAAAAGUAUAUCAAAACAGAAUUUGAAAGAAUGAAAUAGUCUUUAAAAAAAAAAAAACAAACACCUUCAGAGCUGUCGGUGUGAAGCUCACUUCUCAGUUUCAAUCCGAGCUCCACCACAGUCUGGGACAUGCAGUUAUUCAUUACAGGCCCAGAAGCUGUUUUUCGCUCGCCGGUUGCUUGCUACACUCGGCUCACAGAACAGAGAAUGCCAGAGGAAUGAAAAAUGCUGCCUUUACUUUUCUUUGGUUCCCUGUAGGAUCCACCCUGUGCAUCAUCCAGGCGAUGCGCGGCAGAUAAAACGCCAUGCAUUUUGCAGUCCUUUCAACUUGUCCCCGCUGUACUCUCUCUUCCCUUGCCCUCUCCCACAGCUUAACAGAUCCGGAAAUACUAUCAAUUCCUUUUACAGGUGUGGAGUGGAGACAUCUUUCAGCUACGAUGAAAAGAAUUUACAGGCAUUGACAUCUGUUUGAAGCUGCCAAAAGCGGUAAGCAGCCCUUCUGCAGGGCUGUGUGGGGCAAACCGGGGAGGCAGGCCUAGGGCCGCAGAGGGCCCUCCUGACCCGCUGGGUGUGAAAACACCCAGGUGCCUUUCCUCUCCUCCUCUAUGCUUUUGGAGGCGGUGAAGCAGAGAAGUAUUCCAUAGAAAUGUAAUUGAGCACAGCAUUGACACAAAUUUAUUCUAACGCAUCGAAAACUUCCGCCUGCAUUCAGUGCUGAGGACAAACCCACCUAUUGUAAUAAGAAAAACAAGAAGCAUUUUACUUUGCUAUUAGCUUUAUACUUUUUUUUUUUCUCUGUGUAAUUACUGGAGAAGUUUAAAUGUAAGCUUUCUUCCUUACGAGCAGAUUUUAAACAAAAAGUUUAAUUCCACGCUUAAAGGAAAAUGUUUUCUCUAAUAUUUCCUAUAAACCUGCGCUGAAUACUUAAUCCUGUGCUUCUGAGAGUAAAAGCUGCUGCUAUGGAUACAGUGAGGUCAACUUUUCAUCACUAUUUUACUGUGCAGGGUUGGAGGAGAUGUAUGAACCUCGGAAUUAGAACAAGGUGCAGAGUGGCAGCACUAAAGAAACACCUUGUCUGCACUGGAACGGUACUUCCAUUUUCACCUGACGCUCCUGCAGUGUUUUACAAAUACUCAUUAAGCUGCACAAAACUCCUGUGAUAAUCCUCAAGGUGACUCCAAAAAGAAAAGAAGAAAGGUUGUAUGCUUCCUACAGAGCAUGAGGAGCUUUUUGAAAGAGCUGCAAAUUUCUACUUGUUUCUUGCAAAGGAGAAAUGAGUAAUGUCAAUUUGUAUCUUUCCUGCCUUUUUAAGAACUCCAGCACUAGAAAUUCUUUUAAUUGAAAGGCUAUUGCUGAGGAAAAUCUCCUCCAAAUUGGCCGUUAGGCAGCUGAGUUAAAUAACCAUUCAAACUCAGUUUUAAGAUUGUCUCACAGAAACACCUUCCCUUUCCAUUACUCCAUUUUUCACUUUCUUUUUAUCACGUUAUCUCAAUCCUUCUAAUUCUUCUGCUAUCCACAACAGUACAGACAAGGAGAGACGAACUUAAAAAUAGCACAGAUUCUUGAAAGCCACACGCAGCUCAAAUAUGUUCAGGCAUUUCUCUUUUAUAGGAAUAAAAACAAA
RNAcentral lists this long non-coding RNA (2404 nucleotides) under Gallus gallus (chicken). Its description in RNAcentral is "lncRNA (ENSGALG00010013796.1)". Lineage: Eukaryota; Metazoa; Chordata; Aves; Galliformes; Phasianidae. The record is from RNAcentral.